AAAGAGACAGCCUUGGAUGCAUACUAGCUGGAUAGUCAUGGGGAAGUCAUCCUGUGCCUCUCUCUGUGCCUUCAUUCUCUCAUCUGUAAAAUACCUGGAUUGCCUAACUCACACAAAGAAUUGACUAUGAGAUUCCAAUGGAAAAUGUCAUCAGGAUCUUUGCAAACCUUAAAAUGAUAUAGGGUUCCAUGAUUAUCCAGGAAUAACUGAUAGCAUUUAUGUAGUACUUUAAGGUAUAGAGAAGGUAUCUACCAGAGAACAGGGUGACUAAGUCCUGAGAAUGAUUGGUAUGGUUCCUAAAAAGAAGGUUCUGGGAGGGACUCACCAAUGGGAGAAGGAGCCCACAAGACUAGGGGGUGGGGCAGCUGUGAGGCAGUUAUCAGCAUGAUAGCUAGCUUCAAGUACUUUAGAGGCUCUCACAUAGAAACAGAAUUCAACUUGGUCUAUUUGACCCCAGAAGGCAGAAGAAAAAGCAGUUUUGGAUGUGGCAACAAGGCCAAGAUUAUGUAUACUUUUAGAUGUUGACAGGGGAUAUAAAAAGGCCUUUUUCUUGGAUGUUCUACUAAGCUCGAUUAAGAAUAUUAUUCAAUACAAUAGAGAAAGACCUUUCCAUGAGGAUAAAAAGGACUAUACUUUUAAUGAACCAGUGGCAAAAUCCAAACUUACUCUUAAUUAUUUCUGUUCAGUAAUGACUGAGAAGUCACUUGGGACACCAUAUCAGAGAUAUGCAUUUUUUAUCAGAAUGAAUCUCCAAGCUUCCAGACUGUUCUGCCUUGAUGCAGACUAUGACAAUAUCUUAUUGGCAUUGAGAAAUCCCAGCUGGAAUGGAAAAGCUGCCUUAGGAGUGAGGCAAUGGCACUAUCAGAUUUGCACAGAAUUUGGAUAUUUCCAGACCACUGAUUCAGAAUGCCAGCCUUUCUCUGGAAUUCCUUUGAGGU
This is a non-coding RNA of Monodelphis domestica (gray short-tailed opossum), 938 nucleotides long. The record is from RefSeq and is a predicted model, not a curated record. Lineage: Eukaryota; Metazoa; Chordata; Mammalia; Didelphimorphia; Didelphidae.